GAAAAAGAAACAAUAAAGAAUAAAAAAGAAAUCUUUUUUUUUAUUCUUUCUUUCAUAGAUAUAGAGAGAUCUAAUCCGUGUCAUGAUUUAUGAGCUAAUGGAAUGUUUCAUUUUUUUCGUAAUAGAAAACAAUGGGUUGAAAUAUCUAUUGAUAUUGUACAGGAAGUAUUUUAUUGAAGGCUUAAGUUAUUACUCAACAAAUAAAAAUUGAAAUUAUGAACGGG
This 224-nucleotide long non-coding RNA is filed under the name Gossypium barbadense (sea-island cotton). RNAcentral's name for it is "long non-coding RNA (GBAR_LNC023420)". Lineage: Eukaryota; Viridiplantae; Streptophyta; Magnoliopsida; Malvales; Malvaceae. The record is from RNAcentral.